GAUGAACGCUGGCGGCGUGCCUAAUACAUGCAAGUCGAGCGAACGGACGAGAAGCUUGCUUCUCUGAUGUUAGCGGCGGACGGGUGAGUAACACGUGGAUAACCUACCUAUAAGACUGGGAUAAAUUCGGGAAACCGGAGCUAAUACCGGAUAAUAUUUUGAACCGCAUGGUUCAAAAGUGAAAGACGGUCUUGCUGUCACUUAUAGAUGGAUCCGCGCUGCAUUAGCUAGUUGGUAAGGUAACGGCUUACCAAGGCAACGAUGCAUAGCCGACCUGAGAGGGUGAUCAGCCACACUGGAACUGAGACACGGUCCAGACUCCUACGGGAGGCAGCAGUAGGGAAUCUUCCGCAAUGGGCGAAAGCCUGACGGAGCAACGCCGCGUGAGUGAUGAAGGUCUUCGGAUCGUAAAACUCUGUUAUUAGGGAAGAACAUAUGUGUAAGUAACUGUGCACAUCUUGACGGUACCUAAUCAGAAAGCCACGGCUAACUACGUG
Molecule: ribosomal RNA, 497 nt
Filed under: uncultured bacterium
Lineage: Bacteria
Description: partial 16S ribosomal RNA
Rfam family: Bacterial small subunit ribosomal RNA
Source: RNAcentral